CCCUUAGAUGUUCUGGGCUGCACGCGCGCUACACUGAAGCGUUCAACGAGUAUUCACCUUGCCCGGGAGGGUUGGGUAAUCUUUUGAAAACGUUUCGUGAUGGGGAUAGAUUAUUGCAAUUAUUAAUCUUCAACGAGGAAUUCCUAGUAAGCGUGAUUCAUCAGAUCGCGUUGAUUACGUCCCUGCCCUUUGUACACACCGCCCGUCGCUACUACCGAUUGAAUGGUUUAGUGAGAUCUCGGGACUGGCCUGCGCUGGUUGGCAACAACUGGCAUGGGCUGGGAACUUGCUCAAACUUGAUCAUUUAGAGGAAGUAAAAGUCGUANCA
RNAcentral lists this ribosomal RNA (328 nucleotides) under uncultured eukaryote. Its description in RNAcentral is "partial 18S ribosomal RNA". It matches the Rfam family "Eukaryotic small subunit ribosomal RNA", at positions 1470 to 1796 of the family's 1831-position model. The record is from RNAcentral.